GGUGUGGCUCAAUGGCAGAGCUCUUGCCUAGCAAGUGUGAGGCUCUGGGUUCGAUCCUCAGCACC
This 65-nucleotide transfer RNA is filed under the name Ictidomys tridecemlineatus (thirteen-lined ground squirrel). RNAcentral's name for it is "Spermophilus tridecemlineatus (thirteen-lined ground squirrel) tRNA". It matches the Rfam family "tRNA". Rfam says of the family: Transfer RNA (tRNA) molecules are approximately 80 nucleotides in length. Their secondary structure includes four short double-helical elements and three loops (D, anti-codon, and T loops). Further hydrogen bonds mediate the characteristic L-shaped molecular structure. tRNAs have two regions of fundamental functional importance: the anti-codon, which is responsible for specific mRNA codon recognition, and the 3' end, to which the tRNAs corresponding amino acid is attached (by aminoacyl-tRNA synthetases). tRNAs cope with the degeneracy of the genetic code in two manners: having more than one tRNA (with a specific anti-codon) for a particular amino acid; and 'wobble' base-pairing, i.e. permitting non-standard base-pairing at the 3rd anti-codon position. The record is from Rfam by way of RNAcentral. Lineage: Eukaryota; Metazoa; Chordata; Mammalia; Rodentia; Sciuridae.